RNA transcript from Rhododendron vialii, 954 nucleotides. It is a transcript of the gene named CASP-like protein 4A4, with no coding region annotated. The record is from RefSeq and is a predicted model, not a curated record. The transcript has 4 exons. NCBI's taxonomy places the organism in Eukaryota, Viridiplantae, Streptophyta, Magnoliopsida, Ericales, Ericaceae.
AUGCCCUCUUUUUAUUCACAAGCAACUUCUGAAAAAAGCCUUCCUAAUAACUUGGAAAAGGGCACAGGUAAAGAAAGUGCAUACCCAAUGAAGGAAUUAGGAGGAGGUAUGGUAGCGAUUGCUUGUGGAUCAAUGGCCGGCAUUUUGCCGACCUCAGCAACUCACUCUCCGGCACCACCACUGUUGGCAACACCCUCUCCUUUCUCAUUUUCUGUUGCUUCGACAAGGUGGAGCUCAAGACCUUCCAUAUAUAUUUCAAGUCUCUUCCUUCGGUUUCUGGCUCUCAUUUUCUCAUUUGCCUCUGCUCUCGCGCUAGCAGCUCCAUCGGCUAAGAAGACUACAGGCAAAGAUGAUUCUAGCUUCAGUGACUAUCCAGAACUAUUGUACAGCUUCAUUGUGACUAUACUGGCUUUUGUAUAUUCAGCAUACCAGCUCUUUAAGGGUGUUAGUGACAUUGCCUACAGAGGGAUUCUCAUAUCAGAUAUGGCUUCUGAUUACCUUAGCUUUAUCCUUGAUCAGUUGGCAGGUUACCUUCUCAUAUCAUCAUCUUCUAUGACAGUGCUGGCCAUCCAACAGAGAAGACAAGAUACACUCUGGAAGGCGGCAGUUAUCUCCGUCACCAUGUCUUUUGCUGCUUUCGUUGUUAUAGCCAUUUGCGCGCUCUUGUCAGGUUACAAGCUCUGCAAGAGAAUCAUAUGGUGACAGUUCAUCUUCCUGAUUAUGCUUCUUACUAGAGAGGGGCAAGGCCAAACUAAGGGUAAUCGGAGAAGCAACGUGCAAUUGAAGUGUAGUAACUCCACAAUCUUUCUGAAUGUCAAUAGACAAAUACUAUCAUCUCAAUGCUUUUGUUGGUUUAACCUUGUCUGUUGUUUUGUGGUACCAAUCAAUUCAUGUGAUAUAGUUGCAACCUCUUGUGCCACUGUAUAGAGCUGAAAUGCAAGAUGAAUUUUGAAA